RNAcentral lists this transfer RNA (73 nucleotides) under Phrynosoma platyrhinos (Desert horned lizard). RNAcentral's name for it is "tRNA-OTHER". The record is from RNAcentral. Lineage: Eukaryota; Metazoa; Chordata; Lepidosauria; Squamata; Phrynosomatidae.
GCCAGCAUGGCGUAGUGGUUUUGAGUACUGGACUACGACUCUGGAGACUAGGGUUCGAAUCCCGGCUCAGCCA